ACGACAGGAAAAAUGGAGAAUGGAUAGUGAGGCGUGAUCAGCAGGCUCUUCCAUGACAACCAGCAGGGCCUGCUGAAUCAUUCCUGCUCCUGUGGAGAUGAGUUUGGAGUUUUAUGCUAACAUCAUCUCUGCUUCACUUUUUCUCCAUGGCGAGUAAUUUGAAGGGGAUCACUGACCGUGCCAUGGCACACAAAAGCACAACUUCAGAAACAAGAUGUGGCUCGGGGACAACUUAGAGGUUAUUUGAGACGCUGCAGGUUUUCAGCAGGUGCUUCCAAUCCAUGGACUUGGAGAAGAAUGUCAGCUAAUGGCUGCCACUGUGCUGCCAGGCUUCCAUCCAGGGACUUUAGUAAAGUUCUGCUGAAAGAGAUGUAAACCGGGAGAGGGAUGGAGGCUGGAUCCUGGAGUGUGAAUAUUUGACCAUCCUUUACCCCAGCAGCACCUCCACGCAAGGUUUUACAUAGCAGUGGGUUUGUGUUCCCAUCAAACUGGGCCUGGUCAGGGUCAAGCAAGCCCAAGCCUCUGCCCCCGCAUGCUGAGUAGGGGGGCAGUACUCCUGAAGGUGUUCUCACCAGUUCGAGGCCUGCUCUGCAUAGCCUGGGCACUGCCCAACCAGGAGGAUGUGUGUUUAGGAAUGUUUCCCUGCAGAACUAGCUAAGUCUGGCUGUGCCUGGUUGAAGCCUCCUACAUUCCAGAACAUAAGCUGUGAUCCCCAAAUGAGCACGGUUGUCCUGCGAGAGAUGUACUUUGCUCUAGUGGUCUGUGGAAGGGUAGAGAUGCAACACCCUCUUGGUUAAAAUGACAACUCACUUUAAGAGACACCGAAACUGUACAAUCCAUCCUGAAAGUCAGUGCCUUCUUGCUGCAUCCUCUGGAGAGAAGGAGCCCUGCGUCCUCAGGGAAGGCAGAAGGGCAGGCAAGCCGGAUACUGUGAUGGUGCCUCUUCCAUUCACAAGGGAGGAGCCCUCACAGCCUUGUCAUCACCUCCUAAAGGCCUUGCCUUUUAAUUUGAUCACAUGGGCCAUGAAGUUUCAACACCUGAAUUUUGGCAGAAAUGCAUUCAAACCACAGCAGACCCAUUAUCCUAUUUCUAAGGAACCUGGGAUAAGACAAGUCCAUAGGACAGGCAUGGACAAGCGUCCUGAGCCCUGGGGCCAGGGGAAAUCCAAGGUAACAAGGGAAAUUGGCGAUCCCAGCCAGGUGCAUGGCUAGAGCAGUUCUUUCCUUCGGAAGGGCAGCGAUGGAAAUUUCAGCUCUACUUUUUCCUUUUCCCGAGCUGUGUGAUCUUGAGCAGCUUCCUUGCAGCUCAUCCUUCAUGUCCUAAAACAGAUGAUACAGCAACAUCAGCAAGGUGGCAGACUAAGGAACUUCAGACACUACUUACUACCCCCAGAAACAUUUUUUUAAAAACAAUUAGAGGACCUUUGGAAAAUAGUGAAAAGGUACAGGAGCCAAGCAACUGCCCAUUCAAGAAAAAGCAACAUUCAAAAUGCAGGAGAUUUUGUGGAUUUGUACUCCCCCUUUCUGCACCCUUCCCUGGCACUGAGCAGUGUUGGUUUGGAGGAGGUGGCAGCCCAGCUCCCAGUUCUUUCCCUCUAAUGUUAGUGAGCAGAGUCUAACCUGUCUGGGGAUGGCUUGAAGGAUUAGUCCUGCUUUGUUCAACUCAGAGCUCAGAAUAAGAGAAGCAGUUUAAUUCAGAUUGCAGGCUGAGAAAAAGCUAUGGAAAGCAGCAGGAACUGCUCUUAAAAACUGCAGGGAGGCUACAGAGACUGAAGAUGCCUGGGCAAGAGAUUUCAAAUGGAAGCAUGUAAUAAACCCUCUAAGGGCACACAAAGAAGCUGGAACAAGACUUUUGGAAAAUUAAGAUGUCUAAAAGGAGCCAUGUUUAUGGGGAAAUAGUUAAAGCCACAUGAAGGCUCAGACGAGAUGCAUACUCAGAAAAAACCUGAGAAGAUCUUAAGCUACUCCUUGGGCUGACUCCAAGGCUCAGAACAUGUCCUGAGAAUUAGUGAAGAUCUUCCCCAUCACAUAGCCUGUCCGCAAAUACUAGGAGAAGUGGCUGUUUUUUCAAAUUCUUAAUUCUCAACAACGACAACAAAAAUCACAAGGCGUACAAAGACACCAGAAAAUACAACUUCUUCAGGGAAGAAAAUGAAUUGUCGGAAACCACCCGUAAAUCCAAGAAAAUGAUGGAGGCAAGUCUCAACCUUUUUAGAAGUAUAUUUUGCCGAGGUGAAAGACACGCCCAGGAGAAAGGAACACGUACCCACAGGAAACAUCUGCGGUCUGUGCUUUUUCCACACAGGGUCUGGGGGCUUCAUUAUUUAUAGGGAAAACAGCAGGCAGUAGGUGAAAGAGGAAGAGAGAAAAAAAGGGAGGGUAGGUAAGGCGAGCAGUUGCAUUCCUUUCAGUCUUUUGAUUAUUUUCACUGAGUCCACAUUUUUCAUGUGAAAGAAGCCGGCUAAGGAAAAGUCAAUUAUGCAUUCUUCUGGUUCCGUGAAUCUGCGUUUUUAACAUAAGAUAAAAUAAUCAUAGAGUAUAGGAAGCAGUCAGGUACGGAUUUGUCUCAGUUGAGCAGAGAGAGGACUUUUUGUUCUGUCCUUUGCCCUAUGCCUGUGAAGAUAAGCUGUUAAUAAUGUACAUUGUCAGGGUGAAAUUUAACAGAACCACUUUAGGGUAAAGAUCUUGGGGCCCAUAGGAAAUUUUCUUGUGAGAAAAACUUGAGGAAGGAUGUAGCCAUCUAUUUGGGAACAAAAUAGGAGGCAGGUUUGCAUGACCCAGCUCCCAGCUUGACUUUUGCCUUUGGCUUAGUGAGCUUCAGGUACUGAGAUUGUAUUUUUCUUUCACACACCCUUGAAGAAACAUGCAAAUAUCAAUUAAAAGAGAGGAAGUGUGGCUAUAUUAACAUGAAAUAAAAUACACUUUAAGUCAAAAACUGUUACAAGACACAAAGAAGGACAUUAAAUAUAGUUGAAGGGUGACUUCAUCAGGGAGCAAUGACAAUUAUAAACACAUAUGCACCAAACAUUAGAGUGCCUAAUUAUUUGAAGCAAACAUUGACAAAAUUGAAGAGAGAAAUAGAUAGUUCUACAAUAAUGGUAAGACACUUCAAUGACCCUACUUUCCACAGUGGAUGAAACAGCCAGAAAGAACAUAGAUAAGAAAAUAGAGGACUUGAACAGCACUAUAGACCAAUUGGAUCUAAUAAAUAUAUGCAGAACACUCCACACAACAUACGAGGAGUACACAUUGUUCUCAUGUAAAUGUGAAACAUUCUCCAAAACAGCCCAUAUGUGUGAUAUUAUAUAUAUAACAUACAUAUUUUAUAUGUAUCAUAGAUAUUAUAUAUCUCUCUAUAGAAUUAAUAUAUAGAUAUAGAUAGA
This is a long non-coding RNA of Homo sapiens (human), 3383 nucleotides long. Ensembl annotates it as long intergenic non-protein coding RNA 1721. Lineage: Eukaryota; Metazoa; Chordata; Mammalia; Primates; Hominidae. The record is from Ensembl.